This is a long non-coding RNA of Lotus japonicus, 1256 nucleotides long. RefSeq lists it as uncharacterized. The record is from RefSeq and is a predicted model, not a curated record. The transcript is spliced from 8 exons. Lineage: Eukaryota; Viridiplantae; Streptophyta; Magnoliopsida; Fabales; Fabaceae.
GUUACACGUUUCCUGUAGUGUAGCUGAAACCUACUUCAUGAGUCCUCUCUCUGCUUCUCUUCCUAUCCUCUGAGGCUAUGUUGCACUGAUCGUUUUCAUGGAGCAUACACACCCUCAUUCUGUAGCCAGGGUAGCGUUAGGGUUCUGCAAUCGAUGCUCAAUCUCCAACUGGAUCCAGCUGGCGUGAUUUGAUGCAUGCCCAAAUUUAUCGGUUUAUCCUUAUAAAUUGAUCACUUUCUGAUCUCAUACGCUGCUCACCUGCUUGUGGUACUUCUUCGUGAAGGGCUCCCUCUUUCUGGUCUAAAGCAAGUGUUGUUUCUGCUUUCUGCUUUCUGGUCUAAAGCAAGAGAGGUCAUUGCAUGUUAAUUCUUCACCAAGAACAGAAUCUGAAUUGAUGAAGGAAAUGUUUGCCACACUACUUUUAGGAGAAGACAUGUGAGGUGCAUGAGAUGAGAUGAUUCACAUUGAUACUGAUGUACAAGUCCCCUUUGUGCUACACUUUUCCCUCUUCACAUAUGGUACCUGCAAGCUCUCAAAACCAGCUGGUCACGUUGCUUUACAGGUUGUGUGCCUACGCCCUACCUCUCCCCUCAAUCUUCUUUACAGAUGUGUUGAUUUGAUGCACACCCAGCUGCUUUGUUAAGCUACUCCUCACGAUGGCAGGUAUGCGUUUGUGUUCCAUAUAUGAUAAGAAGGUUGUGAUUGGGGAGGGGCUUAAGAUUUAUGAGUAAUGGGUGAGAAAGCUGUUGAUCUGUCAGGUCUUUUGUUUGAAGCGGAACAAUGGACUUCUUUACUAGAGACAUAAAUGAGGACUCUAUCCUUAGAUGUCCAUUCUUAAGGAACAUCAAUGAGCCUACUAGCUUCUUAUUCUCUUCACCGUUGGCUUUCUCAAUACCUGUGCGUGGAGGUGGAGCUAAAGGUCCAAUUUUUGAAGAUAUAUGGUCUGAAUUUUGAUUUGGCAUUUAGGCUUUUCCAUUGGAGUGAUUUAAGAUAAAUGGGUUGGGUUGGUCUGAUGAGGGUGUUAUUUGGGUAAUAUGUAUUUGUAGCAGGGGGUUUGGUUUUUUGUAAGGGGUAAGUGUUCUAUCUGUUGCUCUUUUCUAUUUUUUCUUUUGUUUUUCUCUCUAUUGUAAUGGGUUGGGGCACCCCUUGUGCUUCCCAUUAAUAGACAUUUGACUUAUCUAAAAAAAUGUAUAAUUUCCACAUAUUGAUUGUUGAAUUGUUUAUUGUAUAGUGCUUAGUUUGCUUCAUUUGGCUAC